Molecule: ribosomal RNA, 391 nt
Filed under: uncultured Pseudomonadota bacterium
Lineage: Bacteria; Pseudomonadati; Pseudomonadota
Description: bacterial SSU rRNA
Rfam family: Bacterial small subunit ribosomal RNA
Source: RNAcentral
GCGUGUAGCAGUGAAAUGCGUAGAUAUGCGGAGGAACACCGAUGGCGAAGGCAGCCCCCUGGGAUAAUACUGACGCUCAUGCACGAAAGCGUGGGGAGCAAACAGGAUUAGAUACCCUGGUAGUCCACGCCCUAAACGAUGUCAACUAGCUGUUGGGGCCUUCGGGCUUUAGUAGCGCAGCUAACGCGUGUAGUUGACCGCCUGGGGAGUACGGUCGCAAGAUUAAAACUCAAAGGAAUUGACGGGGACCCGCACAAGCGGUGGAUGAUGUGGAUUAAUUCGAUGCAACGCGAAAAACCUUACCUACCCUUGACAUGUCUGGAAUCCCGAAGAGAUUUGGGAGUGCUCGCAAGAGAACUGGAACACAGGUGCUGCAUGGCUGUCGUCAGCU